UUAAGAAAAGUAUUUAAAAAUACAACUUAUUCAUGAAAAACUCUCAAAGAAUACUCAUCUAUCCACAAAUAUUCUUGUUAUCCUAAUUUCUAAAUCACAAACCCAAAUCUACAGUAUUUCUCAAAAAAGUGAAAACUUUUGAAAAAUAACACUUUUUAUUAAAAUAAUUUUAAAAUACAACCUAUUGAUGAAAAACUCUGAAAGAAUACUCAUCUAUCCACUAAUAUUCUUGAUAUUCUAAUUUCUAAAUCACAAACCCAAAUCUACAAUGUUUCUCAAAAAAAUGAAAACUUUCCAAAAAUAGCAGCUUUUAUGAAAAUUAUUUAAAAAUACAACAUAUUGAUGAAAAACUCAGAAAGAAUACUCAUCUAUCCACAAAUAUUCUUGUUAUC
RNAcentral lists this long non-coding RNA (392 nucleotides) under Brassica napus (rape). RNAcentral's name for it is "long non-coding RNA (BNAP_LNC001462)". Lineage: Eukaryota; Viridiplantae; Streptophyta; Magnoliopsida; Brassicales; Brassicaceae. The record is from RNAcentral.